RNAcentral lists this ribosomal RNA (764 nucleotides) under uncultured bacterium. RNAcentral describes it as "bacterial SSU rRNA". It matches the Rfam family "Bacterial small subunit ribosomal RNA", at positions 51 to 805 of the family's 1533-position model. The record is from RNAcentral.
ACACAUGCAAGUCGAGGGGCAGCAUCAUCAAAGCUUGCUUUGAUGGAUGGCGACCGGCGCACGGGUGAGUAACACGUAUCCAACCUGCCGACAACACUGGGAUAGCCUUUCGAAAGAAAGAUUAAUACCGGAUGGCAUAAUUAUUCCGCAUGGGAUAAUUAUUAAAGAAUUUCGGUUGUCGAUGGGGAUGCGUUCCAUUAGGCAGUUGGCGGGGUAACGGCCCACCAAACCUACGAUGGAUAGGGGUUCUGAGAGGAAGGUCCCCCACAUUGGAACUGAGACACGGUCCAAACUCCUACGGGAGGCAGCAGUGAGGAAUAUUGGUCAAUGGACGAGAGUCUGAACCAGCCAAGUAGCGUGAAGGAUGACUGCCCUAUGGGUUGUAAACUUCUUUUAUACGGGAAUAAAGUGAGCCACGUGUGGCUUUUUGUAUGUACCGUAUGAAUAAGGAUCGGCUAACUCCGUGCCAGCAGCCGCGGUAAUACGGAGGAUCCGAGCGUUAUCCGGAUUUAUUGGGUUUAAAGGGAGCGUAGGCGGGUUGUUAAGUCAGUUGUGAAAGUUUGCGGCUCAACCGUAAAAUUGCAGUUGAUACUGGCGACCUUGAGUGCAACAGAGGUAGGCGGAAUUCGUGGUGUAGCGGUGAAAUGCUUAGAUAUCACGAAGAACUCCGAUUGCGAAGGCAGCUUACUGGAUUGUAACUGACGCUGAUGCUCGAAAGUGUGGGUAUCAAACAGGAUUAGAUACCCUGGUAGUCCACACAGUAA